RNAcentral lists this transfer RNA (85 nucleotides) under Felis catus (domestic cat). It matches the Rfam family "tRNA". From Rfam's summary of the family: Transfer RNA (tRNA) molecules are approximately 80 nucleotides in length. Their secondary structure includes four short double-helical elements and three loops (D, anti-codon, and T loops). The record is from Rfam by way of RNAcentral. Lineage: Eukaryota; Metazoa; Chordata; Mammalia; Carnivora; Felidae.
GCCUGAGUGGCUCAGUCGGUUGAGCGUCCGACUUCAGCUCAGGUCACGAUCUCACAGUUUGUGGGUUCGAGCCCCGCGUCGGGCU